CAGCAUCUUUCUCAAAGAGCUGGAAAAAUACGAACACGUCCCUGAAGAUGUUGGAAAGUGCUUUGUCACAUGGGCUGAUAAAUUCCAGUUGUAUGUGGAAUACUGCAAGAACAACGAAGAAUCGACUCGGCUCAUCACGGAGCUGCUGUGGACUAUUUUAAUAACAUUGAGCAGAAGCACGGACUCGCCAACUCUGUCAACUCCUACCUGCCGAAGCCAGUUCAGAGAAUAACGAAAUAUCCACUCCUGCUAAAGGAUCUCCUGGAAUGCUGUGAGAAAGGGAAAGCCGAACUCAAGAAAGCCCUGGAUGUGACUCAGAAUUCCCAAGAGAGCCAACGAUGCUAUACAUCUCUUCAUGCUGGAAGGAUUUGAUGACAGCGUUGAGUCCCAAGGUGAGCUGCUCCUACAGGACUCCUUCAAAGUAUGGUACUCAAAGAUCCCAUUCAAAAUGGGCAAAAAUAGACAGCUCUUCCUCUUGGAGAAGUCCUUGGUGGUCUGCAAGGUGGUCUGCAAGGUGGUCAAGGACGCCAAGGGGAAGAGCAGGCACAUAUACAAGAAAAAACUCAAUAUAGCUGAAAUAAAGAUGACAGAGCACCUGAAGGGAGACCCCCGCAUAUUUGCUUUCGCGUUGGGCCGAACCUGGACAUCCAGCAAGAUUGUUUUGAAGAGAUCAAGAUGGACUGGAUCCAACAUAUCCUGAAGCUGAUACAGGAGCAGACCAUCCACCUGGGGGAGGCGCUUAAGGAGCCGAGGCGUAUUCCCAAAAGUCAAAGGAAUGGAAAACAUCACAAAGAUGAAGGUGAAAGAAAGAUCGAUGCCUGCUACAUUGGAGGACCCUGGCUAAUACCCGGUACAAAGAAAAGUGGGCUUCUCAAAGUGACAUACACAUAGGAACUUACAUAAACUUGGACACAUUGAUAAGGUCCUUGUAAAAACAAACAAACAAACAAACAAACGAAGAAAACAGCUUUGAGCUAUUUCAAAAUGUCAAGUUGUAAUAUAUGUAUGUACUGUAUAUAAUUUGUGUUGUUUUUGUACACGUUUUAAAAAAUGAUUUCUUGUAUA
Molecule: long non-coding RNA, 1065 nt
Organism: Corythoichthys intestinalis (scribbled pipefish)
Lineage: Eukaryota; Metazoa; Chordata; Actinopteri; Syngnathiformes; Syngnathidae
Exons: 8
Source: RefSeq, a predicted model, not a curated record